GAUGAACGCUGGCGGCGUGCCUAAUACAUGCAAGUCGAGCGAACAGACGAGGAGCUUGCUCCUCUGACGUUAGCGGCGGACGGGUGAGUAACACGUGGAUAACCUACCUAUAAGACUGGGAUAACUUCGGGAAACCGGAGCUAAUACCGGAUAAUAUAUUGAACCGCAUGGUUCAAUAGUGAAAGACGGUUUUGCUGUCACUUAUAGAUGGAUCCGCGCCGCAUUAGCUAGUUGGUAAGGUAACGGCUUACCAAGGCGACGAUGCGUAGCCGACCUGAGAGGGUGAUCGGCCACACUGGAACUGAGACACGGUCCAGACUCCUACGGGAGGCAGCAGUAGGGAAUCUUCCGCAAUGGGCGAAAGCCUGACGGAGCAACGCCGCGUGAGUGAUCAAGGUCUUCGGAUCGUAAAACUCUGUUAUUAGGGAAGAACAAAUGUGUAAGUAACUAUGCACGUCUUGACGGUACCUAAUCAGAAAGCCACGGCUAACUACGUG
This 497-nucleotide ribosomal RNA is filed under the name uncultured bacterium. RNAcentral describes it as "partial 16S ribosomal RNA". It matches the Rfam family "Bacterial small subunit ribosomal RNA", at positions 28 to 507 of the family's 1533-position model. The record is from RNAcentral.